CUACCCAAUCAAACUUGGAUUCUUUGUCUAAUUUUAAUUAUUACAUAAGUUUCACAAUCAAAAGUAUACAAAUACCGUACGUGGAUAUGUACACAAAGGUACAUGCACACUGUACAAAUACUUAGACGUAGGUGUACGUAGUGGCAUGUGCCUAGUCUACCUACUUCUACCACAAAUGUCUUUUUGUCGGGAAGACAAGUUAUUUAUCCACGAGAAG
RNAcentral lists this long non-coding RNA (217 nucleotides) under Brassica rapa (field mustard). RNAcentral's name for it is "long non-coding RNA (BRAP_LNC003309)". The record is from RNAcentral. Lineage: Eukaryota; Viridiplantae; Streptophyta; Magnoliopsida; Brassicales; Brassicaceae.